Long non-coding RNA from Cyprinus carpio carpio, 322 nucleotides. Lineage: Eukaryota; Metazoa; Chordata; Actinopteri; Cypriniformes; Cyprinidae. The record is from Ensembl.
GGUUGUGUUCCACCGAGGGAAGAUUACAUAUCACGAUUUUCCUGUGAGUGGGUUUGCAUUAACAUGAUGACAUUUUAGGGAACUCUUUACUGUAGCUGUCAAAGUGGUAUCAUCCCAAGUCAAGAAACACACCAGUGAAGAAUUACAGCUGUGGGGUGUAGGACAAGUGGAUCACUCAGACUAAACAGACAUGAAGGAAAUAAACGUCAGUCCGUCUGUCAUCUGCAGGUUGAAACGCACUGAAGGAUCCCAGCUUGAUUGUAUUCCUAUCAGAAAACACUGACAAUCUGAUUGCACAUUACCACAUUACCAGGAGAGUGAU